GCAUUUCCUGUGAGUUACACACACACAGAUAUAUUUACACACAAUGCAUUGGCUUCUUCUGCUGAACAAAAUGAUGUGGGAGGCGAGAUACGUGGCCAAGUCAGUCCUCCCUGCAUCUGCUGCUGCAGGAGGAAACACAGAGGACUGCAGGGACCUCAAGUACAGAACAAAAGACAAAUAUCGUGAGAUCAGUGUCACCAUCCCACGUCUGAACAAUCACCAGUGACUCUCCAACUGCUCGGCCUCAUGUUCCUGUACUCCACGCAUACGCAGCAUGGAUGGAGGAGGAGGAGGACGCUGUUGUUGACUGCAGCCUUUUGACUGAAUCAGCAUAAACACACUGACGAGGGGAAUCCUUCACGCUGUUUUAUAAAUUUCCAGAGUUUCUGCACUUUUAACCUCAAACGACCAAGAUUUCAUACAGGAAUUCUUUCUCACUGACUCUGUUUGCGCUUCCUUUAUCUACAGCAG
This is a long non-coding RNA of Oreochromis niloticus (Nile tilapia), 471 nucleotides long. RefSeq lists it as uncharacterized. NCBI's taxonomy places the organism in Eukaryota, Metazoa, Chordata, Actinopteri, Cichliformes, Cichlidae. The transcript has 3 exons. The record is from RefSeq and is a predicted model, not a curated record.